GACGAACGCUGGCGGCGUGCUUAACACAUGCAAGUCGAACGGAAAGGCCCUGCUUUUGUGGGGUGCUCGAGUGGCGAACGGGUGAGUAACACGUGAGUAACCUGCCCUUUACUUUGGGAUAACUUCAGGAAACUGGGGCUAAUACCGGAUAGGAGCUCCUGCGGCAUGGUGGGGGUUGGAAAGUUUCGGCGGUUGGGGAUGGACUCGCGGCUUAUCAGCUUGUUGGUGGGGUAGUGGCUUACCAAGGCUUUGACGGGUAGCCGGCCUGAGAGGGUGACCGGCCACAUUGGGACUGAGAUACGGCCCAGACUCCUACGGGAGGCAGCAGUGGGGAAUAUUGCACAAUGGGCGGAAGCCUGAUGCAGCAACGCCGCGUGCGGGAUGACGGCCUUCGGGUUGUAAACCGCUUUCGCCUGUGACGAAGCGUGAGUGACGGUAAUGGGUAAAGAAGCACCGGCUAACUACGUG
Molecule: ribosomal RNA, 468 nt
Filed under: uncultured bacterium
Lineage: Bacteria
Description: partial 16S ribosomal RNA
Rfam family: Bacterial small subunit ribosomal RNA
Source: RNAcentral